Carcharodon carcharias (great white shark) is the source of this 659-nucleotide long non-coding RNA. RefSeq lists it as uncharacterized. The transcript is spliced from 3 exons. NCBI's taxonomy places the organism in Eukaryota, Metazoa, Chordata, Chondrichthyes, Lamniformes, Lamnidae. The record is from RefSeq and is a predicted model, not a curated record.
CCUUCCCCCUCCCCCGGGUGCUGGCCUGAGGAGUUUGAGGUGUCGCAGGAGCAAGGCUGGUGGUGGUGGUGGUAAGGGGGAGGCGGGGCCAUGAAACUCUGGCGGCUAACGAGCCGCGAAUGGUCCAAGGACAGCAACACCACCGUCAACACAAAGGACUUUAAGUCGAAGGAGCCGGAACUGCAGUGCGAGUUUGGAAAGCUGGUUGGUGCCUGCCUGAAACUACUGGUCUGAUUAUGCCUUCAAGCAGCAGUGAUGAAAUGAUGGCACCUGCAGGGCUACCUUUGCAUCCAGCCCUGUAGAACCUCUCUUGCUUCUCCUAUGAAGGUGGAACGAAGUGAAAGCUGUGGAGGGUGCGUGGCCUGGAGCUUCCUGUCAUCCUGACUGAAGAAGCAACAGUCAAAGGAGUAACAUUUUUGUAAUGGAUGAUUCUUGUUUCAACUGAAAAAUCACAGGAAAAAGACCACAAUGGGAUGAAAAAGACCACAAUGGGAUGAAAAUGCUCAAACUUGCUCCUGCUAAGUAAAAUGAGGGGGGAAAAAAAGGGCGAGUGUUACUGCUAACUAUAUUUUUUUAAAAAUCAAAUAAAAUGACAUCUUCGCUGCGAAACUUUCAACUUCUUUGGAUUAUUUAAACAUACAAAAAGUAAACUAAAUGAC